CAGCUUGUGGUUCGGACGGAGACGCAGGGCCUACUGGGUCCCUGCUCCUGCUGGGAGGUCCUGCGGGCAAUGAGCUGUGUUAGAAGCCAGGGGUUGCCGACGAUGGACAUGAAACAGGGUUGACGGAGGUCGAAGGAGCACAUGUCUGCUUGCAGGGCACGCCAGGUCCUGAUGGACACUGACGUCUAGACCUAGACGGUGGCUCAGCCUGAACCCUGGACGGCCUGGAGCACAGCCAUGCAACUGCUUCUAAGACAAAACCGAGCAGGAGCAUCUGCCAACGUCUCCACAUUGUGGACCUGAGAUUGUUCUCCGGAAGCUGCAGUCGGAGCAUCGCCAGGCCCAGCCCUGGGUCCUCCACCCGGGCCACUGCCUCUCAGGCGGCCUCUCCCUGCCCCCGCCCCUCCGGGGCCCCACAGGGCGGCCAGUGCAGACCUGGGUGUGCAACGGCCCCAUCAGCGUUUGUUUCAUGAACAAAUAAAUGUCUAA
RNAcentral lists this long non-coding RNA (489 nucleotides) under Homo sapiens (human). RNAcentral describes it as "non-protein coding lnc-PLPPR3-1:1". The record is from RNAcentral. Lineage: Eukaryota; Metazoa; Chordata; Mammalia; Primates; Hominidae.